This 253-nucleotide ribosomal RNA is filed under the name uncultured bacterium. RNAcentral describes it as "partial 16S ribosomal RNA". It matches the Rfam family "Bacterial small subunit ribosomal RNA", at positions 524 to 776 of the family's 1533-position model. The record is from RNAcentral.
UACAGAGGUGGCAAGCGUUGUUCGGAAUUACUGGGCGUAAAGGGUCCGUAGGUGGCUCGCUAAGUCAGACGUGAAAUCCCUCGGCUUAACCGGGGAACUGCGUCUGAGACUGAUGAGCUUGAGUGCAGGAGAGGAACGCGGAAUUCCAGGUGUAGCGGUGAAAUGCGUAGAUAUCUGGAGGAACACCGGUGGCGAAGGCGGCGUUCUGGACUGCAACUGACACUGAAAGACGAAAGCCAGGGGAGCAAACGGG